This 612-nucleotide ribosomal RNA is filed under the name Triticum aestivum (bread wheat). RNAcentral describes it as "partial small subunit ribosomal RNA". Lineage: Eukaryota; Viridiplantae; Streptophyta; Magnoliopsida; Poales; Poaceae. The record is from RNAcentral.
GCGUUGGCCUUGUCAUGCUGUAGGGGUUGGGACCACCAUGAAAGUGUCCGCCGGCCCAACUCCGUCCUUGGAGUUUUAAUUCGGCAAAACUUCCCGGGGUUUGUCACGUUGCCUGGUGAGGGUCGGCUUCCAGAGGUUGGAUUGAGUUGGGAGCACUACUUGGCUGCCCCGGCCCCGCCGGGUGAGAUUAUCGACGGUGUCUUGUGCAAGAUGAGGGCAGACGUGGUGAUUAGAAAGUUCUGGACAUUCUACAGGUGUGAGGAGGGAUACGAGGAGGAGGCGGCAGAUGUUAUCAAUAAGGAGUGCAAGCGCCUACUUCAGAACUUACGGCAUGAGGUUCGGGUGCAGGCUGUUCGAGACUACUACGCCGGGCGUGGUAUCAAGAAGCCCAAGCAGGAGUGCCGCGAUAAUUUCUUGAGUAAGGAGCAGUACAUGAAGGCCCCUCCGAGAUGGUGUGCGGAUCGGAUGGAUUGUUGGGAGGUGUUGGUCAAUGCGCGGUGCUCAAAACAAUGGCGGGCCACCCACAACGAGGCCAAGGACAAACGUGCCCAAAUGGAAGGUGUGCCACACCACCAAGGCAGCUCCAACUUAUUUCAGUACGGGCGGAACUGG